AUGUGAAAUUCCAAUCCUGGACAGCGAGAGCCAAAUUCAUAUGCCCCCAACAUUGGGUACCCCGAAGGCUCCAAUCCUGCCCUCCCAUCACCUAUCAAUCCACCCUUUUUCCCAGGCCCCUUUUUUCCUUCCUAAGGAGCUCCCCAGGGCAAUCCAGCUUUCCCCCCAGGUGGGCUUCCUCAUCCUGUGCAACAGCCAGGGUAUCCAGGAUGCCAACCCUGGGGUUCCAACCCUCUUCCAUACUCACCACCUGCCCUCAGAAUGCCUCCUGUGAAUCCCUUGGGUCCUGGUACGACCAGAUCAGGAGUGGUAGUGGACAAAAAGAUGCAGAAGAAAACAAAGAAAGCUCAUAAAAAGAUGCACAAGCACCACAAGCAUCACAAGCAUGGCAAACAUUCCUCCUCCUUUUUCUCUUUCCCUUUCAGCAGUGACUGAUUAAAUACAGGCCCUGGACCCUUCCCUCAAGUCUCACCAGUUCGGCUCUCCCAUCAAGUGUCAGAUGCCAUGUUCUACUGUGAGAAUGUAAUUCUUGUGCUCCCCACCUCUAACCCCACUUGAGCCUCACCCUGCUGUUCAGCCCUGAGUGGCUAGGGAGAAUGGAAAGAGGAUUGCCAUGACAUGGCCAACUUCUUGCUGCUUGGAUAGAUCAUAUAGCUAACGAGUUUAGCAGGGGAGCUAUUUUUUAAAGAUGAUGAACUAAAUGUUGAAGACGAGUUUAAGAUGUGUAAAAUGUGAUUUUUUUUACUUACUCUUAUAAUACUUGUGAUUGGGGAGGUUUGUGGAAAUUUAAUUAUGAUGAAAAACCUCUAUCGUUUUUGUAAUGUUGGCAUACUUGGGGAAUUUAGUGGCAAAUACAUUCUCCAGCAGGCUUUUUGUUGGUUGCACUAACUGCAGGGUUGCUGGGAAGUAGAGUCC
Non-coding RNA from Saimiri boliviensis boliviensis (Bolivian squirrel monkey), 915 nucleotides. Lineage: Eukaryota; Metazoa; Chordata; Mammalia; Primates; Cebidae. The record is from RefSeq and is a predicted model, not a curated record.